RNAcentral lists this ribosomal RNA (492 nucleotides) under uncultured bacterium. RNAcentral describes it as "partial 16S ribosomal RNA". It matches the Rfam family "Bacterial small subunit ribosomal RNA", at positions 29 to 507 of the family's 1533-position model. The record is from RNAcentral.
AGUGAACGCUGGCGGUAGGCCUAACACAUGCAAGUCGAACGGCAGCACAGUAAGAGCUUGCUCUUACGGGUGGCGAGUGGCGGACGGGUGAGGAAUACAUCGGAAUCUACUUUUUCGUGGGGGAUAACGUAGGGAAACUUACGCUAAUACCGCAUACGACCUACGGGUGAAAGCAGGGGAUCUUCGGACCUUGCGCGAUUGAAUGAGCCGAUGUCGGAUUAGCUAGUUGGCGGGGUGAAGGCCCACCAAGACGACGAUCCGUAGCUGGUCUGAGAGGAUGAUCAGCCACACUGGAACUGGUACACGAUCCAGACCACUGCGGGACGCAGAAGACGGGAAUGGUGACGAAUGGGCGCAAGUCUUAACCAACCGUUGCGAGAAAAUGAAGAAGGUCUCCUGAUUGUAAAACACUCUCAGUCGGGAAGAAGGGGAGUAACCUAAUACCUUGCCGUUGUGACGUUACCAAGAGAAUAAGCUCCCGCUCCCCUCGUG